Molecule: long non-coding RNA, 257 nt
Filed under: Manihot esculenta (cassava)
Lineage: Eukaryota; Viridiplantae; Streptophyta; Magnoliopsida; Malpighiales; Euphorbiaceae
Description: long non-coding RNA (MESC_LNC010755)
Source: RNAcentral
AGAUUUACAAUAACCCAGCUGAAUAACCUAGCUGAAAAGAAAGAUCCUACUGGUUCAAGAAUAUCUUGAUAGUCUUUUAGAUAGUUUAUUUUAACAUUUAUUGAAUUUUAUUACUACUAACUUUUUCUUUGAGAUCUGACGAAGUGAAACUUCAGAUGAUGUAUAUAUUUGUUGAAAUUGUGAGAUCAACAGUACAUAUGUUGUAAAAUUUAGAUGGGCAGAUCUGCUAUGAAUUAGAGAGGAGGAGUAUGGAAGGC